AACGUAGGGGGCAAGCGUUGUCCGGAUUUAUUGGGCGUAAAGAGCGUGUAGGCGGUUUGGUAGGUCCGCUGUGAAAACUCGAGGCUCAACCUCGAGACGCCGGUGGAAACCAUCAGACUAGAGUCCGGAAGAGGAGAGUGGAAUUCCUGGUGUAGCGGUGAAAUGCGCAGAUAUCAGGAGGAACACCAAUUGCGAAGGCAGCUCGCUGGGACGUUACUGACGCUGAGACGCGAAAGCGUGGGGAGCAAACAGG
Molecule: ribosomal RNA, 253 nt
Filed under: uncultured bacterium
Lineage: Bacteria
Description: partial 16S ribosomal RNA
Rfam family: Bacterial small subunit ribosomal RNA
Source: RNAcentral